CAUCUUCUGCCAAUCCUCACAGCGCUCCGCGUCCUCGAUCCCGCGGCCCCGCCCGUGAUUUCCGGAAAGAUUCCACCCGAAUCAAGGCUUGUCAAGAAGAAUGGGUCAGUUCAAAAAGAAAAGAAAAACGGAUCGUAGCAAGCGCCGCCGCUCCUCCCGAUCGCCCCGAGCCGACCCCGCCUCCGGUCGCCGCCCACGCACCUGCAAGCCGCCGCCGCCGUCCUCUGCCGGGCUCCGCCGGACCGUCCCACGCGACUGCCGGCAUCCUCCUCCUCCCUUCUCUCUCCCUCUCCUCACUAAUCUCUCUUUCUCUCUCCAUUCCCGCACUGCAGGGCUCCGCCGGACCGUCCCACGCGACUGCCGGCCUCCUCCCGACCAGACCGACGAUGGCGACGACCGGAUCUGACCGGCCCCGAUCGUUCCCGCCUCGCCUAGCCGCACCACUCAUCCGUCCCACCUCUCCCAGCCAGCCCCGCCGCCCCCUCCCUGCCGAGCCCCCUAGUGGUGGACGGUGACAUCUCACCUGGACUGGACUGGAGAGUUGCAUCCAAUCAGGCCUCCCUCCUCUCCACUAAGUGCAUCUGAUUCUGAACACAGAGUUCUUCACGGUAAUUGUCAAUUCUCUGAUGCAAGCCAUUUGUGUGAGUUGUGCAGGACUGCUACACACACGAUGGAUUGUGCCCGAUUUGUGGGCGACAAGCUAUGGCAGCCAUCGAUCAGUUGGGUUCACGUUGGCCGCAGCCAUCGAUUACCAGCUCGUCUGAGCAUCGUCCAACACAUCGUCGUGUGCAUAGUAAUUUCGUUGUGUGAGGCUCCGACAAUAAAACUAUUUUAGAAGACACGGCAAUAUUUUACUAUAUGAAGUGAAAAUGUACAAGUUGUAGAUGGACAAUUAUGGUAGCUCUUCUACACAGUUAUUUAGUGUCCAGCGAGGCCCUCAGAGGAUAUCUAAAGAAGUGAGAAUGUACACCUUGUUUUUCUAGGCGAACAUGACUUGGAUGAGUCAAUAGCAUAGUAGCCGUAGUUAUCUAAAAAAGGCAGUGUCCCAGGCAACAAGGUAAAUUGUUCUGCUGUCCAAUGCAUUGAAGCUAUAGUGCAUAUAUGCUUAGUAAAUUGUUUGGAUUUGUCCGAGACUAAUAAUGACCAACUUAGUGAAUUGUUAAACCUGAAAGUUUGUGUUUUCCAUUUAACAUAGUGAAUUGUUUGCACAAUUCAGUUCCGUGUUGAUUGAAUGGACGUGACGUGAUGUUUUCUCCAGGGAACUGACUGAAGUGGAUUGACAUGGUUUCUGUCCAUGAUGCAGUUAUGUGCUAUUCUUCCUUGCUGCAGUGUUGCGCAUCUUUGCUGCUGUGGCUGACUCCAUGAAUAUGAAAGCUAUAUUUACUCCUAAGCUAUGAGUGUCCUCUAACUUCCUUCCAUGAGAGUAUCCUGUUGAAGUUCUAUCAGCCGACAGGUGCAUUGCACUGUUGAGGAGACACAUGCAUUUGUAUUCGAUAUUGAAGCGAGCCUGACACCCUGAAAGAACUAUACAAUGAUAUUUGGCUAUUGCUUUCAGUAUUAGAGAAGCAUAGAAACAGAACUGCAGGGCUUACUGUAUUUUUAUGUGACAUUCCUCUAUGCCAUCAUGCCAUACUGUUUAUUUUGAGCAACCUUUCUAUGGUAUUUUGUUGGACAGUUUUUAGUGUAAUCUCAAGCACCUCAAUAUAUGGUAAGCAACUGCAUGCUUGGGUAUAUGUUUUAUUCUCAAUGUUGUAUUCCUUUUAUUUGCUCUGUUACUGUAGCAAUCAAAAAGAAUCGGGCACAAGCUCCAGUUAGUCCUGUACAAAAAUUGGUGUAGAAGUGUGAUCUAUGGAUGCCUUAUUUUGUCGAUUCAGACUUGGGAUUGUAGGAAAGUGUGGACUAUGGAUAAAUACCAGAACUGGAUUGACCAUGUCACAUCUUCACCAAGAGUCAUGGCACUGGCAUAUUCAAGCUUUGUUGUUUCCUUCGUUUCCAAGCAACACUCUUAAAGGCAAUAUAUGCAGGUUUAUCAUUCAUGUGAGAGAUACGAAAGAUGAAACAAAAGUAAAAGGUGUUUAUGCUAACGGAGCAUCAUAAUUAGGUAGGAGUGUCUGUUGGUUUUAUAAACCCAGUAUCAUCCUACUACUUGUAGUUUAUGUAUUGCCUGCAAAUAAUACAAUUUUCAAAUGAUAUUUUGUUAUGGUCAUAUAUAAAUAUGUAAAUAUUUAAAAGUUUCAGAGGUUCCUUGAGACGAGA
Molecule: long non-coding RNA, 2256 nt
Organism: Triticum aestivum (bread wheat)
Lineage: Eukaryota; Viridiplantae; Streptophyta; Magnoliopsida; Poales; Poaceae
Exons: 4
Source: RefSeq, a predicted model, not a curated record